This 599-nucleotide ribosomal RNA is filed under the name Vermamoeba vermiformis. Its description in RNAcentral is "SSU rRNA". It matches the Rfam family "Eukaryotic small subunit ribosomal RNA", at positions 587 to 1187 of the family's 1831-position model. Lineage: Eukaryota; Tubulinea; Echinamoebida; Vermamoebidae. The record is from RNAcentral.
AGCUCCAAUAGCGUAUAUUAAAGUUGUUGCAGUUAAAAAGCUCGUAGUUGGAUUUCGGAAGGUCUUUAGUGGUCCGCCCCUUCGGGGAGCGGGUCACUGGCCUCCUAUGUUCCUAACGGUCCUCAUCCGCGAGGGUGGGGAAUCAACCGCUAGGAUCGUUUACUUUGAGGAAAUUAGAGUGUUCAAAGCAGGCGUAACUCGCCUCCGAAUACGUUAGCAUGGGAUAAUGGAAUACGACUUCGGUCUUGUUUCGUUGGUUUCGCUUGGCUGAAGUAAUGAUUGAUAGGGACAGUUGGGGGCAUUAGUAUUUAGUUGUCAGAGGUGAAAUUCUAGGAUUUACUAAAGACUGACCAAUGCGAAAGCAUUUGCCAAGGAUGUUUUCAUUAAUCAAGAACGAAAGUAGGGGGAUCGAAGACGAUCAGAUACCGUCGUAGUCUCUACCGUAAACUAUGCCGACCAGGGAUCCGGAGAGUUUGCAUGGAUGACUCCCCGGGCACCUUGUGAGAAAUCAUAAGUGUUUGGGUUUUGGGGGGAGUAUGGUCGCAAGGCUGAAACUUAAAGGAAUUGACGGAAGGGCACCACCAGGAGUGGAACCUGCG